ACGGGAGGCAGCAGUGGGGGAUAUUGCACAAUGGGGGAAACCCUGAUGCAGCAACGCCGCGUGAGGGAAGAAGGUUUUCGGAUUGUAAACCUCUGUCCUCAGUGAAGAACAAAAUGACGGUAACUGAGGAGGAAGCUCCGGCUAACUACGUGCCAGCAGCCGCGGUAAUACGUAGGGAGCGAGCGUUGUCCGGAUUUAUUGGGUGUAAAGGGUGCGUAGGCGGCUAAGUAAGUCAGGCGUGUAAUUCAGGGGCUUAACCUCUGGACUGCGCUUGAAACUGCAUGGCUUGAGUGGAGUAGAGGCAGAUGGAAUUUCCAGUGUAGCGGUGAAAUGCGUAGAUAUUGGAAGGAACACCGGUGGCGAAGGCGAUCUGCUGGGCUUUAACUGACGCUGAGGCACGAAAGCAUGGGGAGCAAACAGGAUUAGAUACCCUGGUA
RNAcentral lists this ribosomal RNA (437 nucleotides) under uncultured Clostridium sp. RNAcentral describes it as "partial 16S ribosomal RNA". It matches the Rfam family "Bacterial small subunit ribosomal RNA", at positions 341 to 792 of the family's 1533-position model. RNAcentral also lists the same sequence under 1 other name. The record is from RNAcentral. Lineage: Bacteria; Bacillati; Bacillota; Clostridia; Eubacteriales; Clostridiaceae.